AAAACGACUCUCGGCAACGGAUAUCUCGGCUCUCGCAUCGAUGAAGAACGCAGCGAAAUGCGAUACUUGGUGUGAAUUGCAGGAUCCCGCGAACCAUCGAGUNUUUGAACGCAAGUUGCGCCCGAAGCCUUUUGGCCGAGGGCACGUCUGCCUGGGUGUCACUC
This 164-nucleotide ribosomal RNA is filed under the name Euphorbia acanthothamnos. RNAcentral describes it as "5.8S ribosomal RNA". It matches the Rfam family "5.8S ribosomal RNA". Rfam says of the family: 5.8S ribosomal RNA (5.8S rRNA) is a component of the large subunit of the eukaryotic ribosome. It is transcribed by RNA polymerase I as part of the 45S precursor that also contains 18S and 28S rRNA. Lineage: Eukaryota; Viridiplantae; Streptophyta; Magnoliopsida; Malpighiales; Euphorbiaceae. The record is from RNAcentral.